CGCCUCGCGGUCGAAAUAUUCCAACGUGUCGUGACUGACACAAAAACACAGAAUAAAACGUACAAAUACCGUCACCAUACGAGGACAAAAACUGUGAGCAUAUCUGUAUAAGUGUGACUGAUAAUACUUUGUAAUUAGCAGUCGAACCGUUUAUUUUUUUAUUUUUAUUUUUUUAUGACAGGCCAAAGGAAAGCAGAAGCACCAGCAGCAACAGCAAAACCGUAGACAGAACUUCUUGAAGGCGGCACCCAUCCUCAAAAUACAAAACUAGAAGAUGGGAAAGAAGGAGUCUAAGUUCAAGAGCUGAUGUUAAUGGAGGCAUCUGUGGGUGUAUGUGUACCUGACAAACAGACACUGUUCUGUUCCACUGCACCAUCUUCUCUGGCUGUAAAAUGACCUCCUCAUUCACCAGCUUUGCGGGACACUGCAAGAGUGCCUAAAACACCCAAAACACAGUCCUGGAACAGAGAACAUUCAUACGAAUCUGCCAGAUACCAAAUGCGCAAGGAUACAAAUGGAAAAAGUGACUCUAGAGUACACAGAGAACCGGCUGACUAAUGAUCUCAAGAAAACAGCUCUUCCUCAGCUAACCUCCUAGUCAAUUCUGCCAGGUAAGCAUACCAACAUCAUGGCAAAAUCUUGACUGAAAACACUCAAUUCUUAACUUAAAGUUUACCAAAAGAGAAUA
Long non-coding RNA from Cyprinus carpio (common carp), 688 nucleotides. RefSeq lists it as uncharacterized. NCBI's taxonomy places the organism in Eukaryota, Metazoa, Chordata, Actinopteri, Cypriniformes, Cyprinidae. The record is from RefSeq and is a predicted model, not a curated record.